Non-coding RNA from Colletotrichum orbiculare MAFF 240422, 120 nucleotides. The record is from Rfam. NCBI's taxonomy places the organism in Eukaryota, Fungi, Ascomycota, Sordariomycetes, Glomerellales, Glomerellaceae.
ACAUACGACCAUACCCACUGGACAACACGGGAUCCCAUCCGCUCUCCCGUAGAUAAGCCAGUGAGGGCCGGAUUAGUAGUUGGGUUGGUGACGACCAGCGAACACCUGGUGUUGUAUGUU